GAGAAAACAGUAUAGGGACCUGCAUUGACCAAGGGAAGAACAGAGAAGACAGGCCGGAGGGCGCCGCUUCUUCCCUCUUGCAUCUCUGAGAUUCUCCCUUCCCUGCCACUGCGAGCUGUUGCAGACACCCAGAGGUAAAGAAGUACCUCUGGCAAAUGCACAGUUCUGCACACAGGAAGGCCAAGAGCCCAUCCAUCAACUGUGUCAAGAAACCCCCUUUUGGACCAGUUUCAGUGUUCUUUAAUGAAGAUGGGCUUUAUGAAGUUUCUCAGCUAUUUGUUUACAUUUACCAAAGACUAUAACAAGUCAGGUAUAGAUAAAAAUGCCUCAUCUAACUGAAAAUCAGCACUGAAGCUCAUUCCUUAGACACUGAGCUGAAGAUUACAUUAUCAAUCAGUAGACAGGCAGAGAUUCACAAGCUGAAGAUCUAAGCAACCCAGACAGGGAGCAAGCACGACCCUCAGAAGCACCUGGAUGAAGCCUCCAUAUACCCACAUCUCCAGGCCCUACCCCCGACUUGGACCAGAAUUUGCAGGGGGUGGCAAAGGACCGCUCCCCACAUGCUCAUGCACGGUCCUGGCUGAGAGCCAGCCUUCAACACCCAUCUCCCGUGAUUGGUUUUAAGAGGUGAAUGACAAGGAUGCACUAAGCCCCAGCCUGGUGCUGGCAGCAAAAGAGCCUUCAGUGCACAUUUGGAAGCCCAGGCCCACACAGCCACCCGCUGCAGUUACCACGCACAUUGCUACGAGGACACAGGGAUGGCUGGGGAGAGGGCUGGGAAUGUUUUCAGGGAAAGAAGGAUUGCCGCAAGUGGAAAACUCAUAGAAACCUAGCUGCAAGUCUGAUUAUUAAAUCUACUCCUGAGGCAGAGAGGGAUCCACCACAGCAGCUGUUCUUCCUCUCUGUGAGGAAGACACUGAAGGAAGGAAGAAACCCUGCACUAGAGACACCAGAGGUUGAUCAGUAAAGGUGAACUUACACCCCUGAAUUCUUCAUCUCCUGAUCGGAAGUCACCAGCUCCAUCAUCUAUUGGACACAAAGGAAAGGGAAAGUCAGCUCCUCGGCACCGGCCCACCCCAUUUUCACCUCCCAGACUCACUGUCCAGAGUGACUGUGCUUGUCCUGACUACAGUGGGGAUUGUUGGAGUGCAGGUUGACACACGCCACCCUUGAGUUCCCAUGUGUCCACUGUCCAGACAGGCAGGCAGAACACCAAGCAUGCAACUGACUCAUCUUAUACCCACCCAGGCCUAUUGGCCCCCAGGGCAUACCGUUUUCGGAAAAAUCGCCUUCACUGUCAGCCCGGGCCUGUUUGGUGUCUGGCUCGUCGUAAAUCUGCAGCUGCUUCCGUUUCCUGCCCAAGCUAUCUGGGCCGCAGCGAUCAAACCCUCUCCACCUGGGCUACAGACACAAGCAUAUCCCACUGUACCGCUUACUCAGACAGGUAACACACCCCAGAGAAAUGAAGAACAAAAAGGUUGUAAGAUCAGAGAACGAGGACAGAAUAUGUCUUUUCAGAAAGCAAACAACAUAGUUGGAAAACCCUGUUCCUCAAACUCAAAAACUACUCUGAGUGAAAGAAGCCAGACAAAAAAGUUGACAUGUUCUAUGAUCGCAUUCAUAUGAAAUGUCCAGGAGAGGGAAAUCUAGAGACAGAAAGUAGAUUAGUGGUUGCCAGAGGCUGGGGGAGAGAACAGGGAGUGACUGCUAACAGCAGAGGUUUCUUUCUGGGAUGAUGGGAAACAUUCUAAAAUUACAUGAUGGUGAAAGGUGCACAAUUCUGUACAUUUUUACUAAAAGUUGAACUGUACUUUUAAAAAUAAUAAACCUUA
This is a non-coding RNA of Vicugna pacos (alpaca), 1832 nucleotides long. The record is from RefSeq and is a predicted model, not a curated record. NCBI's taxonomy places the organism in Eukaryota, Metazoa, Chordata, Mammalia, Artiodactyla, Camelidae.